RNAcentral lists this ribosomal RNA (432 nucleotides) under uncultured bacterium. Its description in RNAcentral is "partial 16S ribosomal RNA". It matches the Rfam family "Bacterial small subunit ribosomal RNA", at positions 29 to 506 of the family's 1533-position model. The record is from RNAcentral.
AACGAACGCUGGCGGCAUGCCUAACACAUGCAAGUCGAACGAGACCUUCGGGUCUAGUGGCGCACGGGUGCGUAACGCGUGGGAACCUGCCCUUAGGUUCGGAAUAACUCCCCGAAAGGGGUGCUAAUACCGGAUAAUGUCUUCGGACCAAAGAUUUAUCGCCUUUGGAUGGGCCCGCGUUGGAUUAGCUAGUUGGUAGGGUAAAAGCCUACCAAGGCGACGAUCCACAGCUGGUCUGAGAGGAUGAUCAGCCACACUGGGACUGAGACACGGCCCAGACUCCGACGGGAGGCAGCAGUGGGGAAUAUUGGACAAUGGGCGAAAGCCUGAUCCAGCAAUGCCGCGUGAGUGAUGAAGGCCUUAGGGUUGUAAAGCUCUUUUACCCGGGAUGAUAAUGACAGUACCGGGAGAAUAAGCUCCGGCUAACUCCGU